GAAGCGCGUGAGUCCGGUUGGAGGUCUUCUUUACGUGGAUAAAGAUCCAGAUACAGGUCUUGUAAGGGUGCACUGGGGAAACGAUCUGGGGACUAAGGAAUAUGAAGUAAUAAUGCAAAUAAUGAAGGAACAGGAUUGGCUGACUUCGAUAACACCUGAUAUUAAGCUUCCUUCCUUCUAUGCUGCUUCAUAACUCUCUCACCAAUCAAAUGCUGACUGAAAAUCACGAAUCAUACUGAAUGGGCCUCUAGCUGAUUACUGUGACAGUCAUUGAUUUUUUAUGCUUUUUGAUGUAACAGGGAGCGGAAGGACACUGAGCUCUGUCCUGCAGCUGCCCUGGGGGAUGGCAAGAG
Mauremys reevesii (Reeves's turtle) is the source of this 353-nucleotide long non-coding RNA. RefSeq lists it as uncharacterized. NCBI's taxonomy places the organism in Eukaryota, Metazoa, Chordata, Testudines, Geoemydidae. The transcript is spliced from 4 exons. The record is from RefSeq and is a predicted model, not a curated record.